Molecule: ribosomal RNA, 502 nt
Filed under: uncultured Glomeromycotina
Lineage: Eukaryota; Fungi; Glomeromycota
Description: partial small subunit ribosomal RNA
Rfam family: Eukaryotic small subunit ribosomal RNA
Source: RNAcentral
CCAAUAGCGUAUAUUAAAGUUGUUGCAGUUAAAAAGCUCGUAGUUGAACUUCGGGGUCUACCCAUUGGUCAGGCUUAAUUGUCUGUACUGGUGAGAUGGAUCUCUACCUUCUGAGGAACUUUUAUGCCAUUUAGUUGGUGUGAUGGGAAAUCAGGACUAUUACUUUGAAAAAAUUAGAGUGUUUAAAGCAGGCUAACGUCUGAAUACAUUAGCAUGGAAUAAUGAAAUAGGACGGACUGAUUCUAUUUCGUUGGUUUCUAGGAUCACCGUAAUGAUUAAUAGGGAUAGUUGGGGGCAUUAGUAUUCAAUUGUCAGAGGUGAAAUUCUUGGAUUUAUUGAAGACUAACUACUGCGAAAGCAUUUGCCAAGGAUGUUUUCAUUAAUCAAGAACGAAAGUUAGGGGAUCGAAGACGAUCAGAUACCGUCGUAGUCUUAACCAUAAACUAUGCCGACUAGGGAUCGGACGAAGUUAAUUUUAUAAUGACGCGUUCGGCACCUUACG